AUUGUAGUCUGCAACUCGACUACAUGAAGCUGGAUAACGCUAGUAAUCGCAGAUCAGAAUGCUGCGGUGAAUACGUUCCCGGGUCUUGUACACACCGCCCGUCACACCAUGGGAGUCGGAAAUGCCCGAAGCCGGUGACCCAACCAAAAGGAGGGAGCCGUCGAAGGCAGGUCUGAUAACUGGGGUGAAGUCGUAACAAGGUAAC
This 205-nucleotide ribosomal RNA is filed under the name uncultured bacterium. RNAcentral describes it as "partial 16S ribosomal RNA". It matches the Rfam family "Bacterial small subunit ribosomal RNA", at positions 1297 to 1500 of the family's 1533-position model. The record is from RNAcentral.